Non-coding RNA from Equus caballus (horse), 33020 nucleotides. NCBI's taxonomy places the organism in Eukaryota, Metazoa, Chordata, Mammalia, Perissodactyla, Equidae. The record is from RefSeq and is a predicted model, not a curated record.
CCCUGGGCCGCCACAGUGGAGCAUGCGAACUUAACCACUUGGCCACGGAGCCGGCCCCUUGAUCAUAUUUUUUUACCUGUGGAAUGAAGAUAAUAAACGUGCGUCAUGGGGCCAUGGACAUUAAAUCAGACAAUGUCUUUGGAAAUAAGUUGUAAACUAUAAAACUACUAAUGUUCAUUCAAUAAAUAUUUAUUUAAAGAUUUCUAUAUGCCAGAUUCUAUACCAAGAACUGGGGAUACAGAGAAGAACACAGUCUUGCUUUCAAGGAAUUCUCAGUCUAGUGUUACAUAAUUACCUAAAUAUUAUCACUUUAGGUAUAAAAUUGAGAAGAAAUUAUUUUCUAUAAAGUACAAGGGAUUGAAAAUAAAGGCAGAACGUGUAACAGGAAAUAGAAAUAUAAAAAGCCCACCAAUUUAAUAAGGUCAUUCUUAGAUUUUUUUUGCUAUCAGUUGGUCCGUUUAUCUCUCUAGCCUAGAUCAGAACUGCACUUCCUUGCUGGAAUGUAUUUUUGUGGGUUUUUUUCCUCAUAUGUUACGACAGCACUUUCCUCACUGCUAUACCCAGAUGUGAAUUUUUGUUCUUUUUUUUCCUGCGAAAACUCAAAGCAAUUUUUUAGAAGUUCCACUUGCUACUGAUGUCAUUUCUUUAUCUUUUUCUAAGCCAUGGGUCUGUAGGAGCUGCGUGAGGGCAUGGCCCCACUUGUGGCUGUUUUGUGCCUCUCCCAUCAAGACUGCUCUGCUUCAGAGUAACGGGGAGUAUUUAGGAACUCCAGCAUCCUUAGAUCUAUCUUUUGGAAGUAGAUAAUGAUUUUUCUGCCUUUGAAUCUAAAGGCCCAGAGCCAGCCCUUUAGUUCCUCAUCUCUGAGCUUGCUGGUCCUCAGGAGCUGAGGCUGUGGAAGUAACUGCAGUAAAACCCCCCAGCACUGGCAGUGUAAAGAUCGCCGGUGUGAGCAGACAGUGCAGCAGGAGCUCUGGCCUAAGGACUAGAAGCCACAAAAAUAGAUGGUUCAUAGGCAGGAGCAGCUAAUGUGGACGGAGAUAAUAAAAAAUGUUACCACUUUGUAUGUGCCCCUGAAAAGUCUUCAGACUGUUAGAAUACAGUGUCCUUUCUGCCUGAUCUAAAUUCUGCCCUCACCUACUUGAUUGACCUAAUCAGAUCUAGGAUCUUAAGGAUUUUCUAGAAAAAUUCCCUUCUUUCUGGAUUGAGCUCUGGAGUACAGCCCAUCACAUUCCAGCCUCUUCCCUAUUAUUGUUGUUAAAAUACACCUAUGAUUCUUGACUCAUUCUUUUCUUAUUAGGUUGUAAAUGAGAAUCAGCCUUCCUCUUUUGAUGGGUAUUUUCUCUCUUUCCUUCAUCUUUAUUUUUCUCAGAAUCAAGUGAAAUAGAUUAUGUCCUUAAUUAGAGGCCCAUGCUAUGUGGAACUGCAGUAUUUCCAGGCAUUUUACUGAUAUGUGCAAAUGAAGAGAGACAGAGCAAGCUUACAGAUUGCAGGUGGGUAGCAAGGAGUAGAGACAUUAGGUUAAAGUACCUCCCACAAUGCACUUCACUUGAGCAACGGACCUUUGUUUUCUUUUUCCUACUCCAAGUCAGCAAAAAAUCAGAGGAAACAAAAGUUAAGUUGGUGGAGAGAAGUAUAAAUUGUUUUAAAUCUCUUGUCUUUUUCCUUUUCCUAACUUAUUUUGGUAUUUCAGGUAUAAAAUUAGAUCAUGGGGCAACCCUAUGAGAUAUAAUGAAGGCUCCCAACUUUAUUUUAUAAACCUGGAACAUCGUUUCCUAGGUUCCUUCAAUUAUGUCAGGAGUGGUUCAAUGAGAAAAUAGAUACAAUUCAACCUCUGAUUGAAAAUCUUCUUAAAUUCCUAUACCAAGCAUUUCUGCCUCAACGCUCCUAUCUCUUGCCCAUUACUGAUAGUUUUUAUUUCAAAUCUAAGAAACAACUGAGAUUUUCAUCUACAAUCCUUUCCGAAUCUGUAAUCUAUUAUAGAUCUUUUUAAAAUUUCUUUUUGAGAAUUUAAUUACUGAUUUAUGGCAGGUGUUGCCCUGAGACAAAUGCUAUGCUAGAAAUGCUACCUUCUUGGAGAAGAAGACUUAGAUAAAGAAGGGAGGACAGCCUGAGGCUGGGGUUAGAUCUCCUGGUGGCAGCAGCAGAGUGAUUUGAUUCUGACUGUUGUCCUCUCCUUAAGAAUCAUUAGUUUACAUAAACCAGUAAACUUUUAAACAAUCGAGGUACUGCAGAAUUGCCUUUAGGGCAUAAAAGUUGUGUAUUUCUCUAGUAAACAUAGAUAAGAAAUUUGAAUGGGAAAAUUCCCUUCUCCCCUCUCCCACCUACCAAUCCCCUUAGGGGAUUGCCGAAAGAAUAUUCUCUAUUACUUAUGAAGUAUGAAUCCAGAGCCCUAGAUUUUCCUGUGAUAUCUCAAACACCCAAAUUUCAUCAAGAAAUCUAUUUUGCAAUCAAGGCAUGUGAGACUGUACUUAGGCCUCUAGAUACGUCGUUCAUGCUGUGGAUGGACAGCCUCCUUAGAGUUGUGUUGAAAAGAUUCCGCCUUCCGUCUGUAACCCACUAGAGAGAGUUUAUCUGUAAUUUUUAUGUAUAAAUGGGAGCUUUGUCAUUCUCCUUCUCAUCCUUACCUGUUGAGGAGAUUCCAUCCUUAUCAAGUAGAGUCUUUACAUUAUUCCACAAACAGAUUGUUUCUGGGUCUCACAUCAGCCUCAUGGAAAAGUCCAUGAACUCUGUAAGGAACAUAACACACAGGCAAAGGACAGCGAGAAGAGGAAAGAAAACACUCUUAGAAGUCAUUUCUCAUUAGUGUUCCAUAAGAACAAAACCUUUGUCCCCUUGGUAUUCCUGGAUUGAACAUUUUCUAGGCUUUCAGCUUAACCACAACCUUGCCGCUUUGAGCAAGCCUUGUAUUUAGUUUUUGUCCUCUCAAAUUAUCUUUCUGUCCAAAUCGUAUACUUUCUUCAGAGUUCACCUCAAAGCUCAUUUUGCCUUUAAGGAGAUUUUUCUGAUAUUGUUAAUCCUGUACUAUAUUAAACACUGGCUUGAAUCUUCUCUCAGUAGCAUUCUGUGUGUAAAUCACCAUGUAUGUCAAUCACGUGCACACACAUAGAUACCAUAGUAUGUUUGAGAUAUAGACUAGGUCUCUUAGAGCAUCCCAUUGAGUAAUCUGUGUGUAAAAGGCUUCUUGUCUUCACUGUGGUUUCUCCAUAGCACAGCUCUCUCGUAUUUUCCAUCCAAGAUAAUCAUGGUCCUGCAGGUAAGAAUUUGUCAGUCCACCACUUCUGUGUUUUUUGACUCUGCCUCUUUCAUGUUCAGGCCAUUUAUUUAUCUCCUUCUUGACAGUAUGUAUUCUUUACAUCCUAUAAGAUGAUGCUCCAAAUUUACCUUUCCUAGAAAGUUUUCCUUAAUUAAUCCCUUCUCUUUCAAAAAACUUUUGAAUUUGAUUUCCUUCAGCACUUGCUGUUGCUAUGCAUAGUAUAAGGCUUGCAUGGAUUGAAAUGUUAUAUUUAAUUGCUCUUUUGGGUUGUAUGAUACCCAAGUUUCUUUCAGCUUUCAAAUUCCAUAACGCUCCCGGGACAUCUUUUUCCCCAGCUUUGAGGAAGCACUCUGCAGCAAACCUUUCUCUUCUUUUUGUAUUUUUUAAAUCAGCCUCUGCGCACAUCAAGCGUACAAUAAGUGCCUGCGAACCAGCUCCUCUGCACAGGUAGGAAGCUGCAGAAGACGGCUUGAACUGUAACAUGCACGAUUCAGGUUGAACAUAGGGGAUAAAUUCUCUGAUAAUAAAACUGAUUGAAGGUGAGAACGAGCUAUCGAAGAACAACAGGGACUCUAUUCCCUGGAGAUCUCUAAAGGGAAAAAAAAUAAUUUAUCUUGGAUAGAGUCAGGAGACCAGACUAGAAGAUGUACUGAGAUUUUAUCUGGCUCCAGGAUUUUAUUAAAAUCCUUAUUCAUUACACUACUUUCAUAACAUGUUUCUGGUAAGGGGUUUCUGACUUUAUUUUCAUCUGUUAAAAAAUACUAAGUGAAAAUAACGUAGGAAAGCCUAAUUUAUUUUAGGAAUUAAAUACAGACUUUGAGUAAUUAAAACGGAGGAACUACACAUUUCUGUAAUAUACAUGUCCAGCACCACUGAGUACAUUUUCUUUUGUUUGCUUGCCUUCUUCAAAAAUCCAGGAAAAAUCUAGAAAAUGUUCUUUUUCUUGCCUACAAAUGACAAUAUUUCUAUCCGAGAUAGAUACUUACCAUUCUUACUCCAUUGCAAGAAUUAGGUUUCUCAUUUUGUAGACAUAAGAGAAGCUGAAAAGUGAGUCCAGUAGUUUCUUUCUAGAACUUAACACUUUCUAGUUGUGGAUGUUAGUAUUUGUGCCUACUUGUGUAUUUCGUCCAAGCUUUACUUUUUUUUCCCCUUCUAAUUCAUCUACUUUUUAUUGUUUUAAUAUGAUUUCCAGUUACAGCAAUGAGGUUUCUGAAGAGAAAAAAAUUUUAACUGCCAAUGAGAUGAGACUCUGGCUUUGCUUUCCUGAAGAGCUUUUAUUUUUAUGUGAUUCUUAUUAGGGAAAUGGUGCUGAAAGUUGGUGCUUCACGUACUUUCAGGCAAGUGUAUGCAGGGUGAUGUAAUUAGGAACCCCAUUCAGGUUAAUUGAUAGAUACAGAUUUUAUAAAUAAAAAUUUAGAGCAUGAAUCUGUUGUAUCUUAUCUCUGAUUAUGGAACAUUGCCACUGAUAGCUGGAAAUAUUAAAUGCAUGCUCCUGGAAAAUUCUCAAAAAUCACUUAUUUAUGAAAUCAUAGUUUUGAAUCGAUAGCCAUUAAAACCUCUAUUGUAACAGGAAUUAUCACCUUACUGGUAGUGAUAUAGUGGGCUAAAUCACGUCCUCUAAAAUAUACCUGCAAUCUCAUAACAGCCUGAUCUGACCUGGACACUCACCUAUUCCCUUAGAAUUCCCUCCUGAUGUUGCGGGACGCAGAGUGUGCUUAUAGUGAAUUUGCCGUUCCAGCUCUGUGAUUACUCUCUAAGUGUGGAAAAGGGUUAGCAGGUCCAAAUUAAAAUAUCCUGUUGAAACAUUUGAAGGAAGAUGUCUUUGGAUUCAUAGUGAAUCUUUCCAAUUAUUCAGAGAAACAAGUGCACCAGGUCUUUUGUUUUGAACUAUGUUGCCACAUUGGUCUCCACCUUUCCCCUCUGAAGCCCCAUCAGGUCACUGAUGCUGUUGUCCUCUAAAAUAUCAUCUGCCUUUUUGAGGACAACUUUUAUAAAUUAUAAAGCAACCUGGUUAGUAUGAGUGCCUUUCUGAAAAAAGUAUGGAGAUUUGAUUAAAGUAAAGGGGAGCAGGAAAAGAAAGAAGCAGUAAAAAUUUUAUUAUAUUUGGUAACAUAACUUGUUCAGGCUAAAAACCAGAACUACUUUAAAAUUUUUAUUGCAGAGGACUUCUAUGUGUUUUCUGCAGCAUAUUUUCCUUCUUAUUGUUGGUUUCAGUUCCCCUGGAAUUAUACACAAAUGCACACGCAUGCAUGCAUGCUUUACUAAUGCUAGAAGUGUGUAAGGAUGUAGAUUAUUAAACAUCAGAAGAUUAAUCAACCGAAGCAAUGCAAGAGGUGUUUUCAGAAAUCCACUUCUAAUUACCCACAAAAAUUAGUUCAAGAGGAACCAAGGAAGCUGAUAUUUACGUAAAACUGUACAGCUUAUGUCCUCCAUGAGCAUCUCUCCACCUAAUGCCCCACCGAAUCUUGUUGCUAGGGCCUCACAUAACCUACGACAUAAUUGAUGUGUGUCCCCCUUUUGCCCUGCAUCUCUCAGGCAAAAGGCUGAUGAGCAGUGAGUUUAUAAACAAACAAGAGGAAAAAGGACCAAAGACUGAAACGCUUUUCACCUGGAUGCCUGCUUCAGAAAGAAUCCAGAGUUUGCCAUAAAGAAUGCUAAUAGAUGACAUGGGAGCCUCCUUUAUGCUACUGGUGUGUUCACAGCUACUCCCGAGAAUUUCCACAGAGACAUUUUCUGAGGCACUGAAAAUAAACUGUUUAUUUUUAAGAGACAGUCAAGGCAGUCAAAUAUUUUUACAAACAUUUCCAUGGACUCUUUGCUUCCUCUCCCCUACAUUCCUUUCUAUAAAAAUAUUUGUAUUUCUCUGUUGAUGACUUUUAAGAGAAUAUGUUAAUAUAAUUGCAAGAUUUUUUUUUUCUAGAUUUUUUUUCUAUUUAGGUUGUCCUUAGGUUUUUGGUUUUAUCUAUGUUUUUGGGGGGUGCAGAUGGGAGAGAAAUGCUUAGGGAAAACCCUUUUAGAGUUAAAACACUUUCAUUUGAAUAUUUCCGUGAUCAUUGAUCUUCCACGCAGGGUUCCAUUUAUCACUUUAGACAGCACUGCUCCUGCCUCUGCUUCUUAAUAUGUUAUCAGAGGCUUGUCCUACCAUAUGCAAAUCAGUGACUUUAGCAUCCACUCUCCUUUGUUCAUCUGUUAUCAAUUAUUUUAGCAACACUUAACCAUGGGCCAGGUGCUGUGGAUUGUAAAGAGUAAGAGAAAAGCUCUCCACCCACAAGGUACUUACAGUCUAGUUGGAAGGACAGAUCAUAGACAUACAACACAAUUAGUAACAUAGUGUUAUAUUAAGCACCAGCCUAAAUUGAUAUUGUAAGGCACUACGUUGUGUAUUAUAGGAAAUUGUUAUGAAAUUCUAAUAUCUGAUAAUGCCAACUGGGGAAGAAAAAAAGACUUCAAGGAAAAAGAAGUCAAUGUGACUGGUUCAUCUAGGAAAAGCAUUGAUGCUGGGCCUAAAGGUGGACUAAGGAAAACACAAUUAAGAAGAAAGAGCAAUUAGAAGUUAGGGAUGGCAAUAGAGAAACGACUAAGGUAAGAAUGACUUAAAACAAAAGUAAUCUCAAUAUAUUAGUGUAAGAUCAACACAUUUUUUUUCAUGGUAUACCUGAAAACUAGGUAUAUUUUAUAGAGAGACAUACUUUAGAAUUUCAAAACCAUGAAAGCUGUGAUUUUUGUGGGUGUUGGGUAAAGAAAGCCACAGAAGGCAGACUUCUUGAAAGAAACUUGAUGAGAUAGAAACUUCAUGCUGAUGGAAAAGGUAACUAUUUACUUGUAUUCAUAGGAGUUGUUUCUUUAAAAGCACUUCUUUAAAGCUUUUGGUGAAAAAUUCUUGUUUAAUGACCAUGAACGAAACUAGAGGAGAAGAUAAUCAUUUCAGAUAGGAAAAUAAGAAGAUAAAUUUGUUUUUAGAGGGAAACCUUCCACUUUCUGGAUAAUUAAAGUGUUUCUAUCUGAUAAGGAGCUGAGUGUACCAAUUUCCGGGUCUUCUGAUAGUCUGGUUUGUCUUAUUUUAAUGAUGAAAAAAAGAGGUAAGAUGAACAGGCUGCUGAAAUGAUGAGAAGCCGAGUGAGAAAGAACUCAACAAAAGGGGUUGCGACGGCAGGAGCGAUUGCUACCCAAGUGGCACCUGUUUAGAAUGGGAGAAUAUACUAGUAUUUAAAACUGGUUUGCAUGGAAAAUAUACUUUCAAGUUACUUUUCUUGAACACUAAAAGCUUAACUUUCAAAUGCAAGGUAUUUGUCAACAUUAUCUGAAACACCGGACUGGAGGCAAAUGUUCCAACAUAUUUGUUUUCUCACAAUUAGAGCUAAGCUGACAUGUUGAAAAGAUGGUCUUCAAAGAUACUCAGAGGCUGCUAAAUUUUUGUCAAUAAUUAGCCUUCACUUUGCUUUUUAGACAAGGAAGUCAUGUUUUUUUCUCCUCACAUUUGCCAAGUAAGGCUUUUCACUUUCAAAUCUCCCCGUCCCAGUGUUUGAAUUUAAGCAUUUCAAACAGACUCUUCACCCUCAGCCACCAUGUGUAGUAUUGCAUUUAUGCAUUCAACUUCUUACUCAAGUGAUGCUAUUUUUUUCUGCCUCCGCCUGACAGCCACUAAUAAUAACACAUGAGGACAGUCAGACAAAAUGAAGACAAAUGCUGCUUGUCGCAGCAGAAUCAUAAUGUCUCCAGACUCAGUAAAGACAGUCUAACUGUAUGUGGAUGCUCUUUAUAGCUUAUUUAGACCUGUGGUUUUUCCCUGUGGUUUUUUUUUUUUUUCUAAAGCACAAACAUUGUGCAGAAAUACAUUAAGGCAACAUAUGGGCCUGUUAGUUAGCCAAAACAAUGUGGAACCAUGGAGAAUAGAGAUUGCAAAGCACAGAUGGAUACUGUAAAAAAUUCAUGAGUGGCAUAACAGAUCUAAAAGGUAAAUUUUAGUCAAAAUUCAAGUGGAAAGCAUGGGAAAUACUUAAGAAUUUGGCUUUAUGAGGUUUUUCAAAUCACACAAGAUGAAACAUUGUGAAUAUUCCGCAGAUUUGUUUAUGUCAUAAUGUGAAAAUCAGAGCUCAUCAUUCAACAAUAAUUAUGUCUAUAUAGCUUCGUGCCAUCAGAAAUAGAUUGCUGAUAAACAAUAGCGCUUUGCUUCUAUUUAAUGUAAAUGCUGCAGUAUUAAAUAUCCAUAUUAUUUCCAGCUCAAUAUUAGAAAGUGUCAGUCAUUGUGACAAGUCAGACAGGAGGAGCUCACUGAGCCAUUCUCUGUGUAGCCAAGUGCUGUCGAAUAACCAGGUUUUCAUGCUGUAUGACUUUGUUGUUAAAAUUGAGUUCUAAGCAGUAAAUUGGCAAAUCAUUUUUCCCUCUUUUCUGUUUGGUACUUUUAACCAAAACUGAAGCCUCAAGGAGACACUGGAUUCUUACGUGUACAUAAUCAAGAUGCACCUUGAAUUUCGCAGAACACUUGUCUUUCGAAGUUAUCAUCACUGUGGUUCGUCAUUGUCUUUUCUCAGAAAAAAAAAGUUCUGUUCCAAAUCCGUGAGGCCAGCCCAAUGAAGGUGUGCCUUUGAUCCUCACUAUAGCCAAUCUCACUCAUAAAAUUUCCUUAAUAGCAGUUCCUGAGCAAAAGAAUUCUGCCUAGUGAAAUAAGUAAUUUGGUUCUUAAAUUUCCAGUGGGGUAAAAUUAGAGAAAAGCAGAAAGGGAAGGGGGUUGUUCUAAACAUACAACCAUAGAAGCUUUUCCCAUUAGAAACUUUUAGAUGUCUAGUUGAGAAUGAUACCAUGUGGAAUUUAGAUAUGUUUUGUCAUUUUGUUGCUAGAAAGGCAAAACAUAGUAAACUAUUGUCUGUAUAAAGGUUUAAGUAAUACUCAAAGUGAUCCACUAGACACUUUCAAAUCUUAAAUACUAGGUAGACAAGAGGCAUUGGACUUACUUUUCUAUAGUUAAUGAAAUUGUUAAUGAAGAGAUUUGCAGAGGACCCCGUUAUACUUUGAAAAGAUACUAGCACAUUAUUGAAACAACCAGAAAAGUAUUUGGUACUAAGAAGAAAGAUGAUUAGAUUGAAAGUAGACAUGAUGGACAGAAAGUAAACGACAUCACUUGUUGAACUGGACUAAUUUUUUACUUUUGAGAUUUUUUUGCAGGUAACCUGAAACAGGGCAAGUUUUGUAGCUGGCUCUUCAUUCUUGGCACUAAUGCCACUGUUGUGACCUUGAGACAACAAAUUGAACUUUCUGAUAGUUGUCCUAAUAGCUCUUUCAGGCAGUUUUGGUGUCCUUAGUGGAUUAAAGUUUGCAUUAGUGAACCUACUGAGCAGCAGCCAAGACUAAUUCUCAGCUCUCUAUGACAUUUCACACAUUGUCAGUUGUUAGUAAGUGUUAUACGAUAACAUUUUGAGAUCCUCAUCUGAGAGUUGAUGGGGAAAUAUGCAGGAUCUAUGAGGUUUGCCGACUAAGUUGAGCCCAGUUGAGAAGUAUGUUGUAGGGGGUAGGUAAAGAUGGCAGUGUUGUGUCUCCUUUACAAAAAAGAUAGAUUUACUCCCAAAAUUUCACAAGGUCUGAGCAAGAUGCCAAGCAAGAAAAAAGAAUGAAGAGACAGACAAAGAGAGGAAAAAGUAAAAAGGAUAAAGCUGCAGGUAUAAAGAGAGAGUAGAACUAUCUUUCUUCUGUACUGUUAUACCCCUGGUCCUUAUGGAGAAUCUAAGAAGGGUUUGGAAAGUGUCAGAUGUAUUAGGAAUGUGUAUGUAUGUGUUUUUUAUAUUUGUAUCUUCUAUUAAAAUGCAAGCUUCAUAAGGGACAGGUCACUUUGAUUCAUUGCUAUAUUCCCAGUCACCUGGAAAAAUACCUGCUACAGCAUAGACCUUCAGUAUUUGUUGAAUGAAUGAAUUUCUCAACAGACAAUUUUCUGUAUAUUCUCAUCGUUAUCUAAGGAAUUAUGGAUUUGUUGAUAUCUCUUUUAAAGUGUUUGGUUAAUACUUAGCAACUAAGAUUGCUGCAAAGUGACACAUUUUAGUUCAGACAGGUGCCAUCUGGGGGGAGUGAAAAGAAAAGAAAUAGGGAACUUUUAAAAUUCGAUAGAAUGAAUUUGUCUUCUCUCCUCUGAUAGAGGAGCCCAUAAUGGUGAGAUCAUUUGGUUUGUUCAGUAUACAAUAUAUGCUGGGGUGGGGGACCGUCCAGCAAGAAACAUUCAGUAGAGACUGAGUUCUGAGAUAACUCAGAGCAGUCCAUGACUUUCCUGUCUCUGUAGUGUGAAGAGCAGAAUUCACUGGACCUUGCGAAGGCAGGUGAGAAAUCUGUGCUAGCAGUUUGGUGGGCAAGUUGGGUUGCCUGAAGAAGUCAGGAAUUAUAAUUUCAGGCCUAGGUAACCACAGACCAAGAAGGGCAUAAAGAGUUUAUUGAUGGUCAAGACAUUUUGAAUUGAUUCUCCCUGCUGACCGUAGUCUUUUUGCCUUUUUAUGUGAUUCAAAUUAUUUAAUUUAAUUUUGCUUAAUUUAUGCACUAUCACUAGAUUCACUCCAGGGAGAUGUGAGAUGUAAUUGGUUGCAUUUGACAUUGUCUUCCAACACAGCAAUUUUGCCCCAAAAAACCUUGCUGAAAGUCAACAAAGCUGAAUCUAUAACAGGAAAUGCACAUUUUUAUUCUGAUCCCACCUUGACCAAUGUCAGAGUAGCAUGCUUGAGAAGUUAAGUUAAUAUACAUAUUAAUACCCACUGUGUUCAUUAUUUUCUUGCGUAAUAUGUACUAUAUAUGGCCUUUUAAAGGAAAUAUUGAAAAGAGGGAAAAGGUACGUUAAUUCAACAGAUGUAUUUUGAGCACCUAUUAUAUACCAGGUACUGAGAGAUUCAGUGGGGACAAAUAAAUGUCCUCAUGCACCUUUUAGUCAAGAAAGAAAAACAGACUUUAAACAAAUAAUAACAGAUGUAAGAGAUGUUAAGGGAAGGGUGCGUUAGAAGUAUGUAGCAAAAGAAUUUAACUUAGGUCAAAAACAGUCAAAAUAGCUUGCCAAGGUCAAGGAAGUUAUGGUGUAGUGAGAAGAAACGACUUGAAAAGAAACCGACUUCUCUACCUAUCUUCCUUCCUCCCCUCCUUCCUUCCUUCUAUAAUUGAAUAUUUAACAAAUAGUGAUCUAAUGUGAACCAGGGCUCAAACAGAGUGCUCAACUCUGGUGAACCAAAACAAGAAAUAAAACAUGGUUCCCAUGAAGGAGACAAAACACUCAUCAAGCUGUCACACAUGAAAACAAAAUUACCUUUUUAACAAGUGCUCCCAAGGAGAGGCAAAUGGUGCUACAUGGGCAUGAGCUGAUGUGGUCUGGUUUGGAUGGUCAAGUUUCCUUGAGAAAUUGAUACUUGAGCUGAAAUCUAAAGGAUAAACUGGAGUUAGUUAGCCAGAAGCCAGGGGAGGGUAAAACAUCUUAGACAAAGAAAAUAGCAUGUGCAAGGGCCUGGUGACAGGAGGAAGCAUGAGAAAUACACAAGGCUUAACAGAAGGCUAAAGUGGCUAGAGGCGAGAGAAUCAAGGGCUAGGAGGAGAGGCUGACUGGGGACACACCUGCAUGGCUUUGACGGUCAGGUCUGGAUUCCAGAGGAAAAGCAGGGGUGCCUUUGAAGGGUUUUAUGGAAAGCGAUGUGAUCAAAUGCAGCCAGGAAUUAGGCUGCAGCUAGCCUGGGGGUCAAGACACUGGUGGUGGGGGCUGGCAGCUAUCUGGGCAAUGCAUGAUACUAUUCUAAGCCUGGGAACAGUGACGGAACUGGGAGGGGGAAUUGAGUCAAGAGAUAUUUAAGAAACAUAAUCGAUGACUGGUUUGAAACAAGGGGAUAAAGAAGAAUUAUCCAUGGAUCGUUCCCACAUUUCUCGCUUGGAUAGCUAAGUAAGGAUGGUGCCAGUCCAUGAGAUAGGGAAUAUGAGAGGAAGAAGAGGUCUGAGAAGUAGGUGGGUGGGAAUAGUGAAAUCACUUUGGGUCAUGUUGAGUUUGAGGUAUCUGAGGCAUCAAGUGGAGGAGAAAGCACUUGAACAUUGGGGCUGGGUCUGGUUAAGAGAUACAGGUAUGGGAGCCAUCUACAUAGAGAUAUAGUUGAAGCAACUCAGAGCAUGAGUGAGAUUGAGGGGGGACUGUAUAUAAAAAGAGAAGAGACAUGACUUCUGAGUAACACUAGUACUUAAAGGGCUGACUAGGGGAAAGACAGAAGUGAUAGACAUAUAGAAAGAAAACCAGGAGAAAAUGUCAGGACCAUAGGAGCCAAGGGAGAGACUGUAUCAAGAAAAUGAGAGAAUAAACAGUGUCAAAUGCUGUGGAAAAUCACGUAGGACUAGGCCUGAAAAAUAUCUGUUAUAAUAAAGACGGGUAUGGUGAGAUCCUGGUGAGAACAUUUUUGGUGGGGUGAAACUGUGUAAGACAUAUUGGAGUGAGCUGAAGAGCCAAUAGGAGAUAAGAGAAUGGAGGACACUUGUCACUCUAAAAGUUUGUUUAAAUGGAAGAGCAAGAUAGGAUUCUACCUAGAGGAGAAUAUGGAGUUGAAAAGGGAUAUUUUUAGAUGUCUGGGAGUUGAUGAAUUAGUUAGUUGUAUUUGAUUGCAACUGAGAAUACUUAACUAAUGGUGGCUUUAUUAAAUGCCUUUAUUAUUUAUCUCGCAUAAUGAGAAGAUUGGAGAUGGAUGGAUCCAGGGUUGCUGCAGCAGCUAAAAACAAGUAUACUCAAGCCAGGUUCUAUGUUAUCACUCUAGCUUUCUCUUGAAUUUUUGUCCUUGUGCUUCACACUUAAUGGACACUAGCGUGAUUCUUCAAAUCCACAUUACCUCAUUCAAAGCAAAAACAAAAACAUGAUCCUUGUUCUCUGUCUUUUUACAAGGGAACAAAAUUCUUUCCCAGACUUUUAUUUACCCCUACUCCGUCAGACUUCUGUUUAUAUCUUGUUGGCUAGAACUGAGUUAUUUUACCAUUCUAGAUGAACCAUUAGCAAAGGAGAAUGUGAUUGUCAAGUAUGAGCUAGACCAGGGGUUCUCCAAGGAUAGUGGUCUCUGGACCAGCAGUACUAGCAUCUCGUGGGAACUUAGAGGAAUGCAAAUUCUUGGACUCCAUCUCAGUCAUACUGAAUGGAGGACUCUGGAGUGGGACCUAGCAGUCUACUCAAAUAAUCCUUCUAGGCAAAUCUGAUGAAUUUUCAAGUUUGAGAACCAUUGGUUUAGACUAAUCAAGUCAUCCUCUGUUGAGAAAGGACUAGGGUAGGGACUCAUGUUCCCUGAGCUCAUUGCUUUCUUGGAAAGGAUGGGGCAUGACCGUUGGUAGACACAGAAAAGUGUCUGCCAUUCUUGACUUUCAACAUUAAGAGGAAUGGGCCAGUAAAGAGAGAGGAUGAAGAUAAGAGAGGGGUUGAUUGAGAAGGGAGAUGAAGAUGGAGGAGAUUCAUGAACGCAGAUGGAGGGAAUGACCUUCCCUAAGAGGGUUCUGCCUCCACGUUAAGAAGAGAGCUUGAAAAAACAGUGCGUGCAGAAGCAGAUAGGCUGGUAGUAGGAAGGUUAGAGGUUCCCUUAUGUUGGUCUCUGGGAAUAGAGGUAAAGUUAUCUGCUGAGAGAGAGGGGGAGGUAUAGUGGAGGUAAGAUCUGAAAGAGCAGAGAAGGUCUAAAAUACUUGAGGAGAAGGGGAGAGCUUACCAACCUGGAAGCUACUGGAAUGUAUAUGAGGUUGUAAACCUGCUUGGGGUCCGUGAACAUGAGUUCAGAGUAGGAUAGUCUGCCUGGUUGUGUGAGAAGCAACAAAGGGAUUUAGGCUGGGAGCUCAAAGAUAGCUUGAUUCCUCUAGAGUUGUGGUUUUGCCAGAAGGAUGUGACAGAAGGUCAUGGACAAUGAUAUUUCAGAUAAUGUUAAGAGAGAGGUUGAAGUGAUGAACUAAGCAGUUCAUGCUAAAGGGGAGAGUUCGUGAAGAUGGGUUACAGGGGAGAGUUGGUCCAUGGACCCAAAGUCAUGAUGCUAUCUUCCUCUUUAUACAUUUGGUAAGAACCAUUCUAAAGAAUAGGUCAAACUGUCCCCACAUUGUUAAUUUAAAAAAUUAGAGUCUUAUUGUAUUAUGGCCUCUUCUCUCUUUAUCAUGAGAAAUUUGAGUUUUGUUUGAAGGUGUCACAUUUGCAAUGAGUUAUGGCAGACUUUUUCUUAUCAUUCAGUUGUAGGACGUUAUGCAGGAAAAUAAGCCAGAGGCUUUAAUUUGACUUACCUUGACUGCUUUUUGACCUGUUCUAUUUUCCUUUAUUGAUGGAUAACAUUUUACAGGCAUAAUUUUAUAGGCCUUGCACAAAUCUUGGUAAGUCAUAUGUAUAAUAUAAGGUGGAGGACUGCUUUUUAUCCAGCUGGAUUUAUCAUUUCCUUAGCCAAGUAGAGAGAUAGUCGUAAUUUCAUAAUGUACUUGAUAACUUGAAAGAUAACAUUUUGUUUUUUUACGAAAACAAUCUCCUACGAGCUAAGGAAGAGUCAUUGUUUGGGAGGAUGGCAUCCUUCUUCUUUAUCUGUAUGCAAAGGAGCUACUGAACUUCCCAGCUGUGGCCACACUGAACUUUGAGCCUGUUUCUCUCUGCCACCUGACGUGUUCCUCCCUGGGUUGUCCUAAAAGAGUACAAACCAAUUGUAGUAAUCUGAAUUGAAAAUAAUUAGGUGCACAUGUUUCCUGCUAGAAACAUCAUGGAGUAAAUUCCAUAGCCAGAGAGGCAUUACUUCUAUACCGUGCCAUGGUUUGGAUUUUUCUUGCAUUCCCGCAGCGUCUAGUGCAGGAGAAUCACCCUCUCUAUGAAUGUGACUAAGGAAAAGUCAGAUGCCAGCAUCCAGACGUUCAUGAUGUGAGCAUAGGAUAAUAAGACUGUUCCUGUGGAAUUUUGAAUCUGCUUCCAAAGGUAAUUAGAAGAGAAAAGAGCCAGGCACCUUGAAAGUCAACAAAAUUGUUGGAAUAUAAGUUCCACAAGGACAGGAAUUUUGCUGAUUUGUUCACUGCUGUAUCCCCAGUGCUCAGAACAGGGCCUGGCACAUAAAGGCACUCAAUAAAUAUUUAUUGAAUGAAUAAGUGACUCUUUGAAGAUCAAUAUUCUUCUGUAAAUUCUAGUGUCUGUUAACAAAAUAGGUCUUAUUUCUAGGUAGUUAUGUUGGUGGAGACCACCAUAGGGAACGGAAAAAACGCACGGUGCACUCAUUUACUUGUUACAUUUAUAGCAACUGUGAUUAUUCAAAGUUUAUCAUUAGUUAAACUAAUUCUUCGCUGAUAUGAUUUGUGCCUACUGCAUAUUGCUGUGAAUGAAUAUAUAUACUUAGAACCAUUGAGGUUACAGUUUGGGUAUUUUAUUCCAGUGGUAAUUUAUGUGUCACAGUUAAGUUUCUUUGAAUGAUAAGUUGGAGAAUCUGUGGACUCAACUCCAAAUACUCGUUAACUUAGGAUCUACCUCAAGGCUUCCAGAGAGUCUUUUCAUUCUGUGGAGUGAUGGUCUUUGCUUUAGGACACUGGAGAAGUCACAAGAGCUGAUCAAGUGCAUGGAUGUCCAAGUUAGAUAGACCUGGGUUCAGUUCUCACAUUCUACCACUGGCUAUUGAGUGACCAUGGACACGUAUUUUAAAUUCUCUAAAUUUUAGUGUAAAACAAGGAUAUUAAUAAUAUCAUGUAUUUCAUAGGAUUAUCAGGAUUGAAUGAAAUAUUACAUGCAAAGUACCUAGCACAAUGCCUGGCACAUAGUAAUUGCUUGAUAAAUAUGAGCUGCCUGGCACCUAGUAAGUACUUGAUAAAUGUGAGCUGUUGUUACCAGCUAUAAUUAGUUCUUAAAAUCUGCAUAUGAAUUUGUCUUUAGAUAUAUACAAAUCCUUACGUGUAUUUGCUGGUGCUAAAUUCAAAUAAAGUAGUAUAAAUUGCAAAAUUGCUAAUGUUGAACAUUAAUGUUCAUUACAGAUUAAAAAAUGAAAAUCUCACUUCCUUCAGCAUCUUGUUUAAUCUACUUGAUUAGGAAAGGCUCUUUUAUGAAAAUGAUACAUUCACAUUUUAGGUGGGUGUUUACAGGUGUUUAGAGUCACAUUGAACACUAGACCAAUCUUUAGACUAAUGUGGACUUCCAGCCACUUGAAAACAUAAACUUUGCUAUCAAUAGGAAAAAAUCGCCUUUCUCUAAAUCCCCUGAGCUUUGUGAUUGUCACUGGUGACCGGGCUUCUUUUCCAGGCUGUAUCAUUCGCUUCAGUAUUUUUAUUUAUUAAGGUCAAUCAGCUCUCACAACGAAGUCCUAACUCUACAAUAUGGUACAGUCAGCUUUGUGGGUUGCUUUUUCUCUAGUUUUAUAGGGAUACCAGCAAAACUAGAGACUUUUUGGAGAAAGGAAACCACGAUGGUGAGGAGCUUGGAAAUCAUGUUCUUUGAUGAAUGUUGGAGAAAACACAGAUGCUUAAGCUAGAGAGGAAAAAAAGACUUCCUAGGAAUAUGAAGGUUAUCCCCAAAUAUUUGUAAGCAUAUCAUGUAGAAGAGGACAAAAAUGGCAUCUUUGUAUUUAGAGAGGAAAGAUGAAAAAUAAAUAAGUAGAUGUUAAGGGGUGUCACAUUUUGAUAAGCAUUAGUCAGAUGAACUGGCGUCUGUGAAGUACAUAAUGAUGUUCUCAGGUACCAGUCAGCUAACUCUCCUCCCCAAGAUAAUGUAGCUGGUUACGGGUAGAGUGAAACCCACCUGUUUUGACUUCAAAUUCAGAUUGUUGUUGUUUAACCCUGUGCUGUCUCUUUGAUCUUUAUUAAGUUUAGUUAGGCUGGUCAGGUACUUGUACUGUUGAGACCAUGUCCAGGGAUCCACUUUUCUCUGGGCCGGUGAGGUUUAUGCAAUUCGACAGCCACACCUGACACCCUGUCCUUAGCCGUCUAGCUUCCAGUUGAUGCUUUUGAUUAAGACGUGGGACAGAGUGUAUAUGGAACUCUCACCAUUAGUAGAAAAGCCGUUUAAAGGAUAUUUCCUUUUGACCAUGGGUCAAUGAUAUAAUCUUUAUAUAAGAAGGACCAUAUAUGCUAAGGGUAAGUUAUGAAAAGUUUCCCACUAGCACCUUAUUUAUGGAUGUCUUCUGAUCUCUGCAUAUGAGCAUGGGCUAUGAGGAAGUUCAAAAGAAUCAACUUAAAUAAAAGGAACUCAAAGAUAGAUUUUGUAAGUUUGGUUGUGAUGAUAAUAAUUUAUGCCACCGGGGUAUCCCCUGCUUCAAGGAAUUUGUUCUUAUAAGUUGUUCCUUUCUCCAUGUUUCUAUGCAGAAAAUUGCAAAGCUAAAAUUUCUUCCCUAUUGUGGAUGCCCUUUGGGGCUGAACCAAGAGUUUGAGAGGAGAAUGAAGGUCGGAAGUUUGCAGAGUAAUGGCUCAUCUGGUCACCUCAAUGGGGGUGUGAGCGUUUCAUCAUUUAGAUAAAAGGGGUUGUUGCCUGUGUCAUUUAUGGAGCUGUUGGUUUAGAAAAUUUCACCAUCAUCCAGAGACAUGAGUCAGGCGGCAGAAGUGGCAUCAGAUUUCCUCAGACACUAAGGUGAGUGCUCAGGAAAGGUUGUAGACUUACAUUUGAUUUCCACAUCCAUCUUCUCCUUGCAAAUUAAAUUAUUAAUUUUCCCGCAUGCCUUCUUGUUUAAUGAGAAGAGUGGUGGCCUUUAUCUGUGCAUGUGUGCAAACAAAACAUCACAGCAGGAGCUCCUGAACUGCCCAGGCAAGUGGAGGGGUUAAGCAGGCAGAUGUAACUGUCUUGGUAUAGUCUGUGUCAUUUGCAAAAGUCUGGAUGGCUGUUGGCAUCAUAAACAUGGAGGGAUUCAGGCUCCCAAGCACCUCCCUGCACAUGUAUCUGAAGAUGAAAGCUCCUCUUACAAAUACAAAGGAAGGAUCAAAAGAGGGGAAAAUAAUGGCAUUUAAAAUGCACAUGUGAAAUGCAAAAUUAUAAUCUGAUUGUUUUUCCAGGGUUCCAUUAGAGUGGUGCUACGUUCUGAGAUGAUACAGUGUUGGUUGAUUACUUUCCAUGUUUGAGAUAAUAAAUACUCACAUCAGCAUGAUUUGGGACUUGUUACCAUAGACAUUCUACUACAUCUGGCUUUUCUAGCUUUUCACACUAAUAUAUCCCUGGUUAAAUAUGGAUGUUAACUUUUUCUGGUCUGUGGUGCCCCUGAAUACCAGUGCCUGGCUCUAAUUUGACAAGAAAGAAAACAAAACAAAACAAAAAAUAAACACAAAUCAGCAUAGGUUGUUUAUUAUAAGAAUUAUUUAAACAUUAACAUUUUACAUAUUAGUUUCUGUUUGUUUAAGGGACAUUAAAUAUUUUUUAUGUCAUGAAUUUGGAUAUUGGAAUUGCUGCCAACUCUAGAGCAAUGGGAUUCCUCUAUCCUGAUUGUAGACUGUUAGGUUUAUGGCUGUAAGACACAAAAUAAAUUCCACGUCAGUGAUUACAAAGGAUUUUAGAUUGCUAUUUUAAAGAUUUGUUAGCACUUGCCUUUGUUUUAUACAUGUCAGUGUCUUCUUUGGGAGUCUAAAGUUCCCCUUUGCUCAACAAGUGCCAGUGGCAUAUCCAUUUAUUAAAAUUAAAUGCAAACUUUCUUGAGCUGAAUGAAUAGUCAAUUUUGGUGCAUCUUUAUGAUACCUUAGAAGCAGUCUAUAACUUCCAGAUUAAGAACAUGAUAAUCUCUGUGAGUUCCCACCCUCCCCCCUACUUAUUAGUUAUUCCAAUGAAAUAAUAAAAUUUUCAGAGUUGUUACAUGACCUAGCCUUUCCUCUUUUUAAAAAUGAAAUCACUCAGCAGUCCAUGUGAAAAGCAGUGAUCAGCCUGACCACUAUAGCAUUGUUUAUAUCACUCACUCGUACGUGAUAUGAUGUGAUGUAUCAUAUGAUUUUAUUUUUGAGAAAAAAGGUAUUUCUUUAAAAAUUAAGAGAAAUAAGAAUCACUACAUAAGGAGAAAAUUAUUUGUCUUAUUUAAGUACCUCUAAAUCAUUUCUAAAGGAAAAGAAUCUGCAGAACUCCCAUCCUCCUCAUUGAGAGGAAUGGGACAAUCUUUCAACAAACAAUUAUAGUUUCCAAUAAAAGGAGAAAGUUUGUACAGUCUUUUUUACAUAUAUUUCUUUGGAAAAAAAUUGGUUCCCCUUAGUAAAAUAUUUCUGUAAUUUGUUUUGCGCUACUAUGUAAAGGUAAUUAAAUGUACAUCUAUUUAUACAGCUUGUGGGCACUUAUUAGUUGGUUUUGCUUGCAUUUCAUUAACGAAUAUCUGGUCUUUAUCACUUUAUAUUUUCAUAGGACAUGUUUCAUGAAGAACUCAUACGAGCUCCUUUAUAAAUACAUGAAAUUGCAAUCUCUAGGAAAAUGGAUUGCAAACCAUUGGCUGGUUUGGAAUAAACCUGUGCUAAGCCUCAGUAUAGUUUAUUAAAAGGACUUUGUUGGCUCCAGUUUGAACAGCAGUCUCAUUUUUCACGUUCUGUUUCAAAGGAGCCCUCUGCUGGCCAGCUCUGCAUGAUAUCACUGGCACACACAUAUUUAUAUAUGAUUUAUAGUCUAUAGCUAAUAUAACCCAAAAGCCAUUUGUGAUUGAAACUCUAUCAUUGCAAAUUGAAUGCAUCACUGAAACCUGUUUUGUCAUCAUUUUUUCGUAUUUAAUGAACACGCAAUUGUCUAAAAAUAAAAUGAUCAUCCUUAAAGUUUACUGUAAAUCACUGUACAUCAGCAUAUUCCCACACAUGAGAUAAUCGUACUAAAUUAACAUUCAUUACCAAUAAUUUUAGUAAUGAAUUAUUCAGCUGAUAUGCAAUUAUCACACACAUUUCUAAAGCAAUUACUUUAUUACAUAGGUACUCCAUGUCAUUGAUUUACUUGUCUGUAUUGCAUAUGUAAAUAGGAGAAAUCUUUGCAUUUACCACACUUUUAAAUGCAAAGAGUUCUUUAAUGUUUGUUCCAUGUCAUCAGGUUGUGGAGAUGUGUAGUUAGUAUUAACUGCAUUUUAAGAAACUUGUAGUGUCAGAAAAUUUCUGUGAUAAAAUGAGGCCAAAAAAAACCACUAGACCAUGAAGUUAUAGGAAUGGGAUGUUUUUCUGAGUAGUUUAUCAGUAGGUUUAUAUCAUCAUCAAUUAUAUUCUAAAAGCUCCUGUUAGUCAAGAAAAUAAUAAAACAUGACUUCAACUUAUAGUUCUGUCUAGAUUUAGUCUUAGAUUCAAGGCAGUAUAUGGAGACCACAUAGCAUCAUGGAACAAACACAGUCUCUGAAAUUCGACUGAGUUCAAAUCCUGCCUCUGUGGGACCCUGAAUGAUUUAAUCUCAUCUUCAGAAAGGAAACAGUGAAAUGAUCUCAGAAUGUUGUGGUGAGGAUUAGUGACAUAAUAUUUGUGAAGUGCCCAGCACAGCCUCAGGAAAUUGUGAGACAUUCUGCUGGAAUGUUCUCUGUACAUUUAGAGGCAACUACUUGAUUUCUCGGGGCAGGCUUAUCCUACUUUUGUUAGCAAGUAGCAGCUGAGAUAUGGCCCUAUAUUCUUGGACUUCCUUUAUAUGUGGUAAAUUGAGUGUAGUGAAAUCGAAAUCAUGGAUAGCAUGAUAGUAAUUUUAGGCAAUAUCUUAACUUGCAGACUUUAGAGUUGGACCCAAUUCUAAGUCGAAAUCCUGAAAUCAGCUUUUUCUCUGAAAUAGCCUAAAAACAGGAGCCAUAAAAGUUUUAUUGCAUGCAUGCAUGUCUUUUAAAAAAUAAUGUUCAAAAUGAAAAGGAAUAGUUGUUUCAGAACAGUUUAGUAAAACACAGUCCUCAAAUUUCCAUGAUGAAGAAUGUAACAGAAAUGAGAAAUGGCCUGACCUGAGAUGGUAUUGUUGGGUCACCCCUCACAUAUUCUGUUAGGUUAUUCACCCAUUAAAAUUCACGUCUCACCAAGUUAGUUCUUUCUUUUGAACACAGUUUAGGAAAAUGCUACAUAUAGCUUUGCAGUAGUUUAUAUACAUGAGUGUAUAUUUUUUCACAGAAAUGUAAACACAUACCUAGAAUAUAGUGUGAGUUGAAUGAAUUUUGUUUGAAUGAAUAAGAAGUGAACAAAUGGAUCAUUCAUUUUCCUGGCAGCUGACUUUAAAAUAUCCUUUGGUAGAUGAUAAACCAAGCCAGACUCUCAGUGGGAAGAAAACUGCGUCAAUACAGAGCCAUCGACUCAAAUCACUGGAUCACUUUUUUUUUUUAAACCUAUAUACAUAACAGCAGCCACAAUGUUUUCAAGGCCAAGACAAUUGGGGGGAAAUAGACUCACCUAUAGAUUGAAAUGUUUAAUUCAGUGAUCUAAUAUCUUAGGCUUCUGUAAAAGUUAUGAGUCCAAUAUGAACAGAGAUACAUUAAUUUUUAAUUUAUUCACAAAACGUUUGUUAAAUAUCCAAUAAUGUCUCUAGUACUCUGCUUGAUGCUCUGAGGGAUACAAUGAAGAAUAAGACUCAUUGUUUGCCUUUAAGAAGCUUACAGUCCAUUUGGGGAGAAUAUAAAUUACCAUGAUUAACAAGUUCCCCGUGGUCUGGGGCGGGUAUGGUGUUUGGAUCGGGGUAGUGUCAGCCUGGGAGGCUUUGUGGAAGUUGUAGAUCUUUAAUCUGAUAUAGAAGUUUAAGUAUUAGGAAUUUAGAUGGGCACAUUAGGUUUACAAAUGGUUAUACUUAUGGGAUCUACAGAAUAUUUCUCCACUGUGACAUCCACCAGUCGUAACUCCUUAGCCAUCAUCUGUGAAUCAGAUGGCAAACUCUGUGCUCUAGAUCAAAGGGCAAAACCUGGUCAAACAAGAUUUGUUGAAAAGCCUUAGAUUUGAUGAUCUUGGCUAGCAUUAGAUUGUUUGGGACAUUUUUGUAAACUUUUAAAAUGUUAACAAAAUAGCCUGUAAAAAUAAAAUAAUGUUGCUAUCAUCUUAGUUUUCUAUUUCCAAGAUAUUCUGGGAUCACUUGUACAUAAAACGCAAAGUAAGAACUUAGGAGUUUGUGAAGCCCUGUCUUUAAUACUUCUCAAGAUACAUUAAUUUUUCACACAUUUUAAUAAUUUCCUACUGAAAUGUAUUAAAUAUUAUCAUAGAAUUAUGGAUUUGUAUCACAUAGCCUGCUUGAAUUAUUUCAACACCCUGUGUGGUAAAUGAUUGUCAGAUAUGGUCUAAUAUGGUACCCAGUUGCUUCUAACUUCUAGGCAAUGGCUUAGGCCCUGGGAGAACAUAAAGUGGAUUUCUUUACUCAAGGGUGGAAGUAGGUGAAAGAAAUUGAUUAAAAAGAGUGUGAGUGGUUUUAUUAACAAACAUGCUAAAACUCACCUGCCUCGAUAUGUCCUGUCCUUUCAAUGUAUAUAAGGUUCUAAUCACCCGUGUGUACAGUGUUAUAGUUACUCGUGCCAUGACCAUCUUCAUCAUCAUGAUACAUUUCCAUUAACACUUUGUGUAGAAGAAGCCCUAAUCCACCUCUUCUGUCCACACAGAACAGUGUCCCUGAGGCCUCCCAGCCAUUCCAGGAUGGCAUCAUAAGGGGUCACUGAGUCUGAGAGAAGCUGCUGGUGCCCAAUUACAGUGAUUCCACAGUAGCUCCAACCAGUCUCAGAAGAGGAGGCAGGUCCAUUUGUCAGAACCAAAUGUCCCUUGGCUCAUUUCUCUGCAGUUAAACAAUCAUCAGUGUGCCUGGAUUUGAGUCUUCUAGGGCAAAGGAGGGGCGGAAAGACAGCACGAAGAACAGGUGGUUUAGAGAAAUGACUUGCAGCUUGUACAUGUAGAGUACCAUCAUGCUAACGAGUCCUUUCCUGACUAGUAGAUGCAUGCAACUAUUACCUCUGUAAGCAGGACAAAUUAAGCUUACACGUGAGCUUCAAUAAGACUUUGAAUAGAGACGUGGAUUCCUUUUUUAAAUCCAGAAUAGCUAAUUAAAGGGAUCAUCAUACCUUUCUACCUUUUAAAGUUAGCAGGUUGGACAUGUGACCUGCUUCUUUGAGUGAUUACAGCAUGUGCAUACCAGUGUAUUGGAUCACAGAAACAGUAACCAAGACCAGAAAAAGUUCCUUCCUAAAAAUUCUCCCCAAAUCUAUUAUCUUCAUAUUCUUUCAUUGUGUUUAUGAUCUUGGAAGAGAAACUGCUGUUUUUAUAAAGCAGCAUUUCAAGCGCUGCCAACCAUUCUAUAUCCAUGUUCCUGAAAGGUCAAUGUAUGUAUUUAAAUUUCUCCUGAAUAUCCAAGCAUUGCUGCAUAUUUUCAUCCAAUUUACAGCCUAUUUCAUCAGUGUAAACAAUUAAUUUUCCUGAAUAAAUAUGUAUAUUUGGUUCAGAUACCCUUGAGGCUUUCAAGGCGCAAUUCAGAUGCAUACGUGGAAACUGUUCAACUAACUUGCAACUAGUUAGGAAUCUGAGAAACCAAGGACAUUGACUUUUUUAAUUAGGAAAAACAACAACUCUUCCUUAUUGAAAUUCUAGCUGCUGCACCCUAAUCUUCUAUUCUGAUGUUUUCAUUUUGAGGCUACCUACGGCCCAUGCUACCCUUACAGUUUUUGCAUCCUAGUGGGCUUCUGAAAGGCUGUUUAAAGUCACCCAAUGAGAAGGAAAACAUUCACCAAGUAAUAGCCUCCGGUGGUGACCACAGCUUAUGAGCCAGGAGGCUGCAGCCCAUCAGGGGCACAAAGGAGGCCCGGGAGUCAAAUGAUUGGUUGGUGGUUGUUAUUGAUUUUGUUUAUUUCUAUAAUUCAAAGCUAGAUCAGAAGAGGUGAUCAGUUUCUGGUUUGUUUUGUGUUGUUUUCUGAUUAGUUGAUCUCGUCAGUAGUCUGGUCAGAGAAUUGGUUUUAAAAAUUCACAGACACAGUGAUCCCAAACGUAGAUCCCUAAAGCAGAGUAGAACCGAUUUUUCCAAGCUUGCCUGCUUGGGGAAGAGAAAACAGUGCUGAGAAGUUACCUGAUACCAUAGAGAAAGUCAGUGACUUCUCACUGAAACCCUUGGUCCCUAAGCUUUUAUCCACUUAAUAGUUUUCUACCAUCUGGAUUCUACAGUAGAGUAUUCAGGGAAUCCAAUUGACUGUCCCAAAUAGAGUGGCCUUUAUUCUUCCCACAAGAUUGAUAAAGAGAGGGAGAACCCCUUACUGUACUGGAAUAUAUAGCCCUUGCUUUUGAAAGGACAACCACUUUGGGAUUGAGCUGGGUUGAAGAAUGGAAGAGAAAGUGGCAUAAUUUGACUUUGACCCUAACUAUUUCAGUGAUUCAAUUAUUUUAUAUACUUACAGCCACACAGCCAAAGUCAAAUUGGACAUUAUGUCCCAGUACAUUCACAUAGACUUGCAGAAGUAAGGGCUUCAGCUCAAAGCUUCCAUGUCACAACUGCAGAAAGGGCAGGAAAGAGCAUGUGUUCAUGGACCACAAGGAUUUGCCAAACCCUGGCCAAAAUCUUCAUACAUUUCAAUGUAGCCUAUUUCUCUUCCCUUAUUUCCAAAUGUAUUUCCAGCAUCAUCUUUUUAUAGUUGUUGUUAAAGUGAACAACAUUUCACUUUGCCAGGAAUGUUAUAAUGAAGAUAAAGGGGGAAAAUUAAGCUAGAAGGCACUAAAGUACUGAAAAUACACUGUAACACAUUUGAGAAAUAAUGUAUGUAUGUCAGUCAAAUGAAGAUAGAAAUUGUCUUGAUAUUUUUUAAAAAACAUAGCUGAUAAUGUGAUUUCAUGUGAAAUUUCUUGAUGGUUACUGAGCAUAAAAAACAUAACUGAUAAUAUGAUUUCAUGUGGAAUUCCUACUGGUUACUGAGCACAAGAAAGGCGACAUACACUAUAGCGAGAUGGAUCAUGCUCUCAGCCCAUUUUUAUUGUUUAGUGAAAUAAAGCUGUGCAUGUAAGCAGUUUCUCUACAGUGACAAGAAGACUCUAAAAGUGGCAAGGAAAUGUAGCUGAAGGAGGAGCUAUUGCUGAGGCAUACCUUUCCUAGUAGAGUGGGGGAAGCAGAGUAGAAAAAACGCAUCAUAGCAAGAUUUUCCACUAUUUAAACAGUAAUAUGUUGCAGUGGAGGCUGAAUUGCAAGGGUGUGCCAGGGACAAGAGGAGUACUGGAAUGUUAUAGGAGAGUUGCUCAAAAAGGAAAAGAAGUCUUUUGCAUGAUAAUGGGACGUUUGCCAAUCUGGAUUCUUGUGUUAUUAAUGACUUAGCUGGGGUAUCGUAUUAACAAUGACUUCACCAGCUUGGAGACAGGCAUCUAGAAUCCAUGCUCAGAAUCACUAAGCUAGUCUGCCUCUAACUCAUGAUAAUAAAUACAUGUGUAAUCUUUCACCAUCAAUUUUACCUUUAAGACAAAAUCCAAAAAAAUUAAUUCCCACAAUGUGUAAAAAUUUUCCACGUUGGCUAAUAGAUGACAAAGACAAAGUGAAAGGCGUGGUUGCACCUAAAGUCGAUGCUUUCGUUUUUCCUUCUGUUUUGGCACCUCCAACAAGCAAUGGAUCUUAGCUUAUUGUGGACUGUCAGGAACAUACCUACUUGAGGAAAAUUCCUGGUGAGUCUCUUCAGUGCUACCCGGAUCUGUAGUUCUAAAGUUGAAAAAGUGCAAUAUAUGCAGGAAUUAAAUUUUUUGCAAUUGUCCAAUUUCCAAACUUACCCAAAUUAAGAAAGCAAUAAAUAAUAUCAUCUUAGGAGAAUAGUACCUUUUCUUAAAAGAAAUAAAAGCAUUUUACAGAAAGAGGUUCUUCUGUACCUUUUUUACCAUAGUCUUUGUGAAGUAACAGGGCAUUUGUACGUAGUGUUUAUUCUCUGUGGUGGAUAAGAAAGCUACUAUAGAGAGAGACUAAGGCUGUGCCUGCAUGAGCUACGGAAACAAAGGGAACAUUCACUUUUGUGUGUAUUGAGAUAUUGCAUACCCCUGCCAGGGGCGAAAUAUGCAACUCGUCUAGAUAAAAUGAACAGUUGCAUGAGUGGUUAUAUCUUAAAAUUCAUUGUGGUGGACACACAAGAAAAAGGCGUGAGUCCCACUUCCCUUGGCUAAGAUAUCACUUUAUUCACUGUGGUGCUGACAUGGGGGUGAAGGUGAAAUAGUGUCCUCAGAGUUCAUUUUCCUCUGGGAACUGUGGCAUGCCAAUGCCCAGUCAACAAAUCUUAAGGAAGAAACAGUAAUGGAAAAUGAGAAUUGUAAUAAAAAUCUUUUUAACAUUCCUUCAAAUAAUAAAUCAGACCAUUUAAAAAAAUUAAGAAUCUGUGGGAUACCCAAGUAAGUGAUAGGAGGUCAGAGCUAGUCAGUUCCAAUGGAAGUUAAAUUUGCUAGUUGUUUAAAAGAGGUCAGAAACCAACCCAAGUGAAAAAUGUCCUCAAUUUGAUCAACAGUUGGGAAGGAAGAUAAAAAUGGAAUGCUUAAUUUAGUGUUGUAAUUAAGAAUUCCUGUGCUGGAGAAUCUUUUCACAGUUGAGCUCCUUUCUCAGGCUUACAAGGCCAGCCAUUUGUGGAGGCACUGAAGGCUUCAGACAGCUAGAUUUGUGCCCUGCACCCUCAGUUAGGCUUGGUUAUGCUAACUAUGAUAUAAAGAUGACAGUUAAGACCAUGAUGGGAGGGAGAGCCACUGAAUAUUAAAGCUAAAUGGACCCUUUGAAGUCACCCAGCACCUCGUGUUACAAAUGAGACAACUGAGAAGAGAUCUGACCUUGAUCCAGGGCCCUUGUCACUAGACCAUGCUGCCUUUCUUGAUGGUACACAGAGGAUGCUGAGGUCGAAGGGCUCCUCUGGGCCAGCUCAGGCUGGUCCCCAAACCCAGGUGGGGCAGGAGAGCGGUGAAUUCUAGUGUACAAUUCACUGUACCCUUUCCUGGGAGCAAUGACUGCUCUCAGUGGAGUUCCAUGCCCCAGACAGUAUUGACUAAGUAUGAUUGAGGGGAAUGCUGCAUGAUUUAUUUCAUGCCAGUUCUUCUACAACUUAGCAAUUCGCUUUGUACAUUUGUUAUAAUGCCAACUUAUCAUUAUGGUUUGAAAAACAUGAUUUUUCCCCCCUAAGUGAUAAGAAAUAUAGAAACUCUAUUCAAAAAGCACAAAUAGUUGUUUUUCUUAUAUGUUCAUUUUUUUUGUAUAUAUGUUGAGGAUGUUUUCUGAAUCUCCCACAGUGAUAACUAACUUAGCAACAAAUGUAGCCCUUAUAGUCCUUAGGUUCCUCAUCAGUAAAGUUAGACCAGAACAGAAGCAUCUCAGCUCUAUGAUUCGGUAACUGGCCUGUGCACCAGAAGCCUGUGGAAUAAUGAUGGAUAAUUAUUUUUUUUACUUAAUAUCUAUGUUUCACUCCUGGCACUAUUAAUCCCCUAAGGGUGAAUUAGAAAAAAAAUAUAUAGUUAUGUGGAUAUUUUUUGUAAACCUUCUAUUGUACAAAUAAAAAUUAGGAUUGCUAAAUACAUCACCUUUCCUAAUAGGAAAUUUCAUGGAUAGUUUUCUGCAACAUUCUUUAUCAAACCAAACUUUUUUGGCCAAUAUUUAAUAUGCAUUCUAAUGUCAAAGCGGUAGCCUGUAAUGGAAGAGAAAGUCAUAGAAUCUUAGAGUUUCCGGGAACUUCUCAGGUUAUCUAACAUUUCCUUCCAAAGCAAGCAUCCCUUUCAAAAUAUUCUUGACAAAAGUCACCUGACUACUGUUCAGAUAUUUCCAAGGAGAGCAAACUUGCUCCCUUCUGGGGAAGCCAUCUUAUUAUUAUACUAUUCUCAUUUUCAGAAACAUCUUUAUAUCUUUCACUUUUUGAUCCCAGUUUUGCCUUCUUAACCAACAUCUUUUCCUGAGAGCUCUCUUCCGCAAGGUCUUGCCUGAUUAAAUUCUGGGUUGCUCAAUGUACUGCUUCAUACUCUGAAGCGACCUGGUGUUCUGAUGGAGUCCCAGUAGAGCAGAGACCGGGGUAAGGACUAAAUCCCUCCAUCUGAAAAGUUUACUUCUACUAAUGUGGCUUAAAAGAUCACACUAGCUGUUUAGCAGCCACUUCAUUGUUGACUCGUCUGAAACUUGUGGUCAACUAAGAGCUUCAGGUCUCAGUCCCAAGACCUGCAGUUAAGGAUUUCUCCAUCUUGCUCUUGAAAUGAUUUCUUAGCUGUAGUUUAAGAUUCAGUGUUUUUUUUUUCUGUUGACUUGUUGACUUUUAAGUUUAGUGUUUUCUGAACUUUGUUCUAACUUAAGUUUGAAUCCGUUGCUUUAACCCUUAUGUGAGUUCUCUCUCUCACAUACUCCUUAUGUGAAUUUUGAAGUACAUUUUAUCUGUAUUUUGGAAUGUCUGUAAGAAUAUCUUAGUAAAAACACUGGAUAAUUCAGGGUAAUCCCAGAGCAAACCCGUAGAAGAGAGACCUUUACAGGAUGACGUUCUUCCAUCAGUUUACACUGAAUUCAGUUGUUUGUUAGUUAUUAUUCCACUUAACUGUAUUUUAUCUACUUAGACUUCCUAAAUUUCAAGUACAUCAAAUAUGCUUCUAAUUAUAAUUAGAGGAAUUGUUUGGCUGCUAUCUAGAAGUUCUGAUAAAAGAGGAAAAAAUGUUAAUUCCCCAAGACUUGUAGUAUACACUUGCUAGCUCCCAGUGAUCACUGGCUUCUUUCGUAGGUUCCUUAAUCAUCCUUAAUAAAAUGUUCCUUAGAUUACCACCCACAGUACUGGAUCUUUAGGUUAUGGUUUGCCUGCAUAGUAAAGCAUGAGCAUGUUUAAUUUGUUAUAUUUGUAUUCUUUUCUAUUCAAGUAGAUGAAAUUGAUAUAUAUUGAUAUAUCUAAUAUAAAUAUGUGUGUACGCAGGUAUACACAUAAACACACACACUAUGCCCAGUCUUUCAUUCCUCUUUAAUUACGCUCUUAACCCUUUACAGUUCUUUUUUUUUUCUUUUAUCUUUUUUUUUCACUCUCUUCUUGAUAGAGAACCUUGAAAGAAAAAUAGUAAUUUUCCCCUUUCCCCUCCUUGGUGAAUCAGCAUUAUAUAACCUUGCUAAUUAAGUGUCUCUGACUCUUCCUCAUUUAUUGUCUUAUACCAGAUAUAGUGUGUGUGCACUUAUUUUGCUAUCUCUAGAAGUUUUCGUAACUCCAAGAUAUUCCAGACUCCAGCCUUUCUGACACUUUUAUUUUAGUGCUAUACCAUUUUUUUAACCCAUCCUACUUACUGUAUAUCCGUCCUCAUGGUACAUAUCCUUUUAAUAUCUGCUAAUAAGCAUACUUCCAGCUCAGCUCUUUUCAUUUAUGCUGUCUUUCUCUUCUUUACAUCUUCAUGUGGAUCAUUAUAGAUUAUAGCAGCACUUCCUCUCUUAGAAUGUCCCAGUUUAGAAUGUCCCAUUCCAUUUUAGAAUCUAUAAGCAUGAGAUUAUGCCUAACUAUUUAUUACAUAUUUUGAAUCUGUGCACCUAAAACUCAGAGCAUACAACUGAGGAUACCCGGCCUUUUCUUCAUAAUAGAGACCACAGCUUAAUAUUACAGCUUUUUCUCAAAGUUCUUGUCUAAAUCGCAUCAAUAUUCCUCCCUCAUUUUGUCCAGAGGAAAGCAAGCAUGGGUGAAAACAUGCAAAACAAGUCUUGUGAACAGCGACAGAGUGAAAUGGGGCUUAAGCCUGGGAAAAAGAAAGCUUGAGGGAACUUGAAACUGACUUCAACUAUUUGGAGGAUUGACUUGAGGAAGAAGAGUUAGUUUUAAUCCAUAUACUCAGAGGAAUUAGAAUUAAGACCAGUAAUUGAACUGAUUUUAAUCUCACUCUACAAGCAACUCAGUCUAAACUGACUGCAACCAGUCUCAUGACAAUCAUGUAACUGGAAGUGUUCAGUGACUGGCAGGCCACCAUGGCAGAGUCAGCGUAGAUGGGGUUCCUGUGUUGGCCUGGAUGACACUUAUGAUUCCUUCAACUCUGAGAUUACACAAUUUUUAUGUUCUAAUUUUUCUACCUUGUUCAAAAGAGAUUUAAGGUAACUGUGAAAAUCAGUGCACAUCUAAACAAAUUUCUUCUUUUCCCUUCUGAAAGCUGAAAUUGCCUAUAAGGCAGGAAUUUAUCAGAUGCUCUGCUUUUAGCUGAGUAAUUCUCCCAACAAAUACAGCAGUGCUUGAGGUUCUCUCAUCACCCCGUUAUCAUUCUGCUUCCCCAUUUGAUCAUCUGCUUUGGGAAAUCAUCCUCCUUAUCUCCCAUCAGGCAUCUGUAAUCUUCUCCCACAGCAACUUCAGUUAUCUCUUACUUAAACCAAAUAGUCUCUGUUUGUUCCCAUCUUCUAGAAUUAUUUUUUCCUCUGGAAUUAUGUUUAUAUUUUUGUUUGUUCUAAACAGACUCGACUCUACCCCAAUUUAUUGGUUGUAUUUCUUUUGAUCAAUGUGUACCCGCUGUCAUCAUUCUUCAUGCAUGAGCCACAUCCCACUGAGUCUGGUGUAACUAUGAUAUACUGCUCACUCCUGUGUGUUAAAAUUUAUAUUAUUCUUCUUUGUGUUAAUAUUUCAGGUUUAUUUUGUUUUAGUGCUUAUACUUUACCCAUUAGUAUAUAUACACUCCUAAUGCCAUAAGUAUUGGGUGCAAAUCUUCUAUUAUCAUUUCGUCUUUGCCAAACACACUGUCUUUUGCAGCACUUUCUGAGAGAGCUUUGCCUUGGCCUCACCCCAGUUCUGCUGUGUGCCUCCAAUUUCCCCUCUAAACCCUCUUGAUCUGCCAAACACACAUUUCCUGUUUUUAUAAGCACUCCUCCAUUUGAGCCAGAAAAGUGAGUUAUAACCUUGUUGCACAAUUUUAAAAAUAUACUUUUAAUUAAAAAAUAUCCAACUCUCUUCUUCCAACCAGCUUUCUCAUACCAAGUCAUUACCUCAAAGAUGAAAAUAUUCCACCAAUACCUCCAGUUUCAGGCCCAAAGCUCUAUAACUCCUGGAAGCACUUUCUAUAACUAUCACUUAUUGUUGCUUCAGUCAACAGGAGUGGGGAGGAGUGUGCAGAUUUAAUGGCAUAUCCUUUUGAAAAAUGAUGAACUUCUUGAUUGGCCAUAACGAAUCACUAACCCAUCAGCCAGUAAAGAGUCACCAGCAGACCCACCAGGCCUUUGUCUCUGGUGGCUGCACCAGGAACUCUCCCUGGGCCGAUGCCUGUGCCUCCUCUGUAGGCCUGGGGUACAGUACUUUCUUUAGAAGAUCUGAACUCACCUAUAGUGGGCAGUGCCAUUUAUAGAUUUUAUGGCUUUAGUAGACUCUAGUUUUCUCUUUUCCUUUCCUUGAUGAUAGCUUCAAUUCUAUAAUCUUCUCAUACUCCAUUUGAUUCAAUAUCAACCCCACUGAAAGCUUUUUCUUCCAGUUUUUAUCUUGGAUUAUUUUUUCCAUCUUCUCUAGGAAUGCUUCAUCUUUUCUAAUAAGCUAGGGGAUACAUAGAUAUUCCUCAAACUCUUUCACUUUCUUUACUAGGUAAUUUUUAUCUCAUUCCUCCCUCAGAGAAGAUGGGGAAAAACUUGUUACCAAUCUUAGCAGAAAAUUCUUGAUUUAACUCAACAGUUUCUGUUAAAUCGCUCUUGGUCUUCUUUUUUUUUUUAAACUGAGUAAUCCUAAUUUAUUGCCUAAUUUCUUAUAGGUUUCAUUUUCCAAAAUAUUUAUGAUUUUUCUAAGUCCUAGUCAUGUUUUCUACGACUUUAAUUAUUGAGGACAAAAAUCUGUAGGUUUCUUCAUGCAUGAUCUGACCAAUGCUGAAAAAUGAGAGAGAAACUAAUAUUUUCUGUGCUCCUAAUGUUUACUAUGUUUACUUGAAGUAAAAUGCUAUGUUUCAGACUCAUGGUAAGCACAUUAACUAAUACAAUUAUAUUUUCAUGUAGCCAUUCAUUGGGUAAUGCAUCUUACAAAUAUUUACCAAAUGGCAUUAUGCACCAGAUGCUACUCUGACUAGUGGGAUACAUUUAUGAAAAAGGCAGUGUCUUUAUCUAUAAGAGCUCACAAUCUGCAGAGAGAGAGAAGUAGAAUUAUAAUAGAAACCCAGCAUGUGCAGUGCUAUCAUGUGGGCAUAUAUACAGAAUAAUGGGGUCCAAAGGACCAUCAUAGCUUGGUGGUAGAGGUUUGGAGAGUCUUUGUAGAGAAGAGUGCUUUUAAACUACAUUUUGAUGAAUGGAUAAGAUGUCACAUGAGCAAGAGAAUUCUAAAUAGAAGAAAUUUCUAUGUCUGCAAAGGUACAGAAACACAAAAGAGCAUAGCGUGCAAUGCUUGCUGUUAAGUUGUACAACAUGGUUGGAAUUGAGAGAGAAUGUGUGUGUGUGUGCGCGCAUGCGCAUGCGUGUGUGCACAUACCUGUCUGUCUGUAGGAGGUAGGGAGAAAAGUAUUAACAUAGCGUGAGAUGAUAUUAGACCUCAUAUGACAUAGUAAGUAAUUUAAACAUUUUAUUCUGGGCAAUGACUUUUUUAAUUUAGAAAUGUGACUAUAAUAUAAAGGAGGACUUAGGUAUCAGAAGUAGGGCAACUACUUUGGAGGGAAGAGAAAAAUGUGAGGACCUGAAACUAAGGUAGAGGCGGUAAAAAUGGAGAACAGAGAGAUUCAAAUGACAUUUAGGAAGUAGAAGAAACUGGAUUUGAAGACUGAGUAGAUAUAUAUAUAUGGUGGAGAGGACAGGCUAACUCUAGCGGGUCUGGCCAGAAUACUUGGGUAGAUAGUGGUAAAAAUUGAUACAGUUGAAUCAUGUAGAAGAUGGCGUAAUUUAGGGAGGGGAUGGGGAAGAUGAUUAAUUAAUUGGGGAGGUAAAGAGUUCGAAGCGUCUGUAAAACAUGCAGAUGAAGGUAUACCUGAUUAGAGUCUGAAACUUCGGAGGCUUUAGACAUACAAAUUUGGAGACCAUAUGGACAUGAGUAGGUUAUAGCAAAAGUCAUGGUCUUGGGUAAAAUCAUCCAAGAAUAUGUGAAGUUUGAAGAAAAGA